Molecule: long non-coding RNA, 724 nt
Filed under: Homo sapiens (human)
Lineage: Eukaryota; Metazoa; Chordata; Mammalia; Primates; Hominidae
Description: HSALNT0138579
Source: RNAcentral
CUGGUACCUCAGAUGGAAAUGCAGAAAUCACCGGUCUUCUGCGUCGCUCACGCUGGGAGCUGUAGACCAGAGCUGUUCCUAUUCGGCCAUCUUGGCUCGAGCCUUGGUGACUGACCUGAGGCCAUCAUUGCAGAUCCAUCCCUCUUGCCAGUGAGGGGUUCAAGCAUGGGCAUAUGACCAAUGAGACAUGAGAGGAAGUCUGCAGGGACCUUCAGGAAACAUUUCCUUGGCUCAAAGAGAGACCUCAAGGAAAGGAUGGUCUCUUCCCUUCUAGAUACUGUGUCAGAAUGAGAAAACUAGAACUGCUGCAGCUGUAUUUCUACCAGCCUGAGAAUGGAGCCUAAACUAAGAAUGGAUGAGAAGAGGUGAAAUGAUCCUGAAUCCUUGAUGACAUCACCAAGUCAACCGAACUUGAAGGCUGCCUUGUCUCUGGACCUCUUGCUAUGUGGAAUAAUGGAUAGUUUAAGCCUGUUGGAAUCCAGAUUUUUAUGAUGUGCAGCAAAACCUAUUCUCCUGAUAACAUACUAGGAGCACCAAUAAAAUUUAGAUCUAAAAAGGGACUGAUUAUAGUUAAGCUUAUGCAGACAUACCUAGGAAGAAAAUCAGAAGAUUUAAGAAAAACUUAGAAUAAACAGCAAGGCCUACUUUUACACUGGUUCUUGUGAAGGACUAAUUUGGCACCAAAAUCAAGAUGUCACAGGAAGGGGAACAUCACACACCGGGG